GAGCUGCUGGUUCUCCACAGCUGAGAAUCUCAGGCUCAAAUUCCAGGAAUGUGGAGAGAGAUUUCCACUCACCCGUGCCGAUCUUCGCCAUUGCUACUGACACUCUCCUCGCGCACCUCGCAUUCUCGAUCAGCGUCAUGGACGGAUGAGCAGCGGCCUUCAUCGCCCUAGAUCGUUGCUGAAUUUGUCUAACGAAAAACCCUAAAGAAGGUUCUAGCUAAGUAACUAAAAUAAACUACAAAACUUUCAAACCCUGAUAGGGCUGGGCAUCACUUAAAG
RNAcentral lists this long non-coding RNA (279 nucleotides) under Selaginella moellendorffii. RNAcentral describes it as "long non-coding RNA (SMOE_LNC001170)". The record is from RNAcentral. Lineage: Eukaryota; Viridiplantae; Streptophyta; Lycopodiopsida; Selaginellales; Selaginellaceae.